This 134-nucleotide ribosomal RNA is filed under the name Notamacropus eugenii (tammar wallaby). The record is from RNAcentral. Lineage: Eukaryota; Metazoa; Chordata; Mammalia; Diprotodontia; Macropodidae.
UUCUAAGGCCAGAUCUCCAUCCACUACACCAUGCCUUAAUGAGUCUAAUCUUGUCUCAUCAGAAGCUAAGUAGGUUUGGGCUUGGGUAAGUACAUAGAUGGGAGACUUUCUGGGAAAACCAGGUACUGUAAAAU